GAGCUAGUAGCUCAGCUUGGUUAGAGCGACGGACUCUUAAUCCGCGAGUUCGAAUCUCGUCUAGCUCA
Molecule: transfer RNA, 68 nt
Filed under: Nanobdellota archaeon
Lineage: Archaea; Nanobdellati; Nanobdellota
Description: tRNA-Lys
Rfam family: tRNA
About the family: Transfer RNA (tRNA) molecules are approximately 80 nucleotides in length. Their secondary structure includes four short double-helical elements and three loops (D, anti-codon, and T loops). Further hydrogen bonds mediate the characteristic L-shaped molecular structure. tRNAs have two regions of fundamental functional importance: the anti-codon, which is responsible for specific mRNA codon recognition, and the 3' end, to which the tRNAs corresponding amino acid is attached (by aminoacyl-tRNA synthetases). tRNAs cope with the degeneracy of the genetic code in two manners: having more than one tRNA (with a specific anti-codon) for a particular amino acid; and 'wobble' base-pairing, i.e. permitting non-standard base-pairing at the 3rd anti-codon position.
Source: RNAcentral